Molecule: long non-coding RNA, 1699 nt
Organism: Gallus gallus (chicken)
Lineage: Eukaryota; Metazoa; Chordata; Aves; Galliformes; Phasianidae
Source: Ensembl
CUACAAGUACAGUCAAGCCAUAAAUUGAACAAUGAAUAUCUUGUCCAGUAAGGCUCAGAUCCCAGCUGGGGUUUUCGGCAGCAGCUUGAGCAACAUUUCUGAGGGGAAGACCUUUAUGAAGGAGAUUAAGGAGUGCCCGUAUUCAGCAGGCACUGCUCUUUUCCCAUAAGACUGGAGGACUAAUGGCUGUGCAUGAGAUCCUGCCUGCUCUUCCGCACACACAGGGCAGGCACAUUCAUGCUAUUUAACCUCUCUUGCUGCAGGAGUUUGGGGGCAGGGACUGUAGGUUCCCCUCCAUCUGCAGGGGUUGGACAGGAUCAGCAGAAAGAGACCGGUGCAAGUUUUUGGAGGUGCUUUUGUGCCUUGAUCCUUUGUUUGUGUCUUUAAAAAUGUAGUGCCUUGUGCUGGAAACUACAUGUAUAGUUGUCUGCUGCUUGUGUCCCCUGUGAGGAUCAGUACAAGAGGGAUUGGAUUUUGUGCAAUAUUCCCAUCUGGGUUGUAACUUCCUCCUCUUCUGCAGUCUUUAACAGUGGCAAGGUACAAAAGUACCCUUGCAGACCUGCUUUUGGAAGCCCCUUCUUCAUUAUUUGGUUUACACGUGCAGUGAGUGUCAUGCAGCCGAGAUCUCUCGCUUUAGCACACCUGCACACAUAUUGACUGCAGAAAGAAUUAGGCCAUGCUCUCCCACCAGUUGCUGUGGCAAAACCCAGGCAUGGAUUUACCAGAGAGACCACAUGGAGUCUGUCCUUCCUCCUGGCAUCCCUGCAGUUCUAUGAGAGCACAUCUACCCAUGGCGGAGUGCACCAAGAGGUCCCCUUGGCACGUAACCCCUCUUCUUACCCUCAUUCUCCUCUCUCUUUUGCCCCAUCUCCUGCUCACACCCUUCUGGGAUGAAACAAGAAGCACUGACAAUAUUGAGAAUGUCAGCCUCCAUGCAUGUGGGAACUGUUAGCUCACAGACUGCAAGCCCUGAAGACACCACUGCCAUCAUCUAGUUUGCCCUGCUGCCUAGCACAAGGUGUAAGACUUUCAGCCAAUAAUUUCUCUGAUAAGCUCAACAGCCUGCAUUGAGCUGAGGUUCCAGGUUUAAUUAAGAGAGUAACUUGUGCAUUUGGGGUAUUAACAAAAGAUCCAAAUUAUUGCUGUGAUUGUUUCAUUUAUUUUUAAUAACAAUCAUAAAAAGGGGCUGUCUGAACCCUGAGGUAUUGUAGGUCCAGUAGAGAUGGGUGGAAUUUAACUUGCAUUCUGCUUGGUGAGGUAAAAUCCCAUUGUGUAGGGUCCAUCCUGUAUCAGAAGAAUGAAUUACAUCUGCUGGGCAGUUCAGCCUGUGUGAGAUGUCCAUUUCUCUGCAGAGGCGUGCUGCAUCAUCAUAAUUGGUUCAACGAGGCACUUCGGCUUGUGUAGAGAUGGGGAAGAGCUCUCCCCACUGCUAUUACAGAAUAACUUACCUAGAAGGAAAGUUUCUUCCCAACUUCUCAGAGAAAAGUUGGCUUGUGCCUUAAAACCUGGAGAUUUACGUUCUUUAAAAUGUGUGUGGGUUUUUUUAAUCCUGUCUAAUGUAACUAUAGAUGGUCUCCAUAACCAUAUAAAUCCCCCGUUAUUGUUUGAUUCCAGCCAAGACCUUGGCCUCAGUGAUAUCUGGUCGUAAUGAGUUCCACUGAGUUACAGUGAAGCUAAUUGUAUUUGAUAUGGCUGCAGU